UAGGGUUUGAUCAUGGCUCAGGAUGAACGCUAGCGGCAGGCUUAACACAUGCAAGUCGAGGGGUAACAUUGUAGCUUGCUACAGAUGACGACCGGCGCACGGGUGCGUAACGCGUAUACAAUCUACCUUAUACUGGGGUAUAGCCUUUAGAAAUGAAGAUUAACCCCCCAUAGUCUCUUUAGGUGGCAUCACUUUUAGAGUAAAGGUUACGGUAUAAGAUGAGUAUGCGUUCUAUUAGUUUGUUGGUAAGGUAACGGCUUACCAAGACUACGAUAGAUAGGGGCCCUGAGAGGGGGAUCCCCCACACUGGUACUGAGACACGGACCAGACUCCUACGGGAGGCAGCAGUGAGGAAUAUUGGACAAUGGAGGCAACUCUGAUCCAGCCAUGCCGCGUGUAGGAUGACUGCCCUAUGGGUUGUAAACUACUUUUAUACAGGAAGAAACACCUCUACGUGUAGAGGCUUGACGGUACUGUAAGAAUAAGGAUCGGCUAACUCCGUGCCAGCCGCCGCGGUAAUACA
This 523-nucleotide ribosomal RNA is filed under the name uncultured Flavobacteriaceae bacterium. RNAcentral's name for it is "bacterial SSU rRNA". It matches the Rfam family "Bacterial small subunit ribosomal RNA", at positions 1 to 527 of the family's 1533-position model. Lineage: Bacteria; Pseudomonadati; Bacteroidota; Flavobacteriia; Flavobacteriales; Flavobacteriaceae. The record is from RNAcentral.